This 484-nucleotide ribosomal RNA is filed under the name uncultured bacterium. RNAcentral's name for it is "partial 16S ribosomal RNA". It matches the Rfam family "Bacterial small subunit ribosomal RNA", at positions 30 to 507 of the family's 1533-position model. The record is from RNAcentral.
AUUGAACGCUAGCGGGAUGCUUUACACAUGCAAGUCGAACGGCAGCGCGGACUUCGGUCUGGCGGCGAGUGGCGAACGGGUGAGUAAUGUAUCGGAACGUGCCCAGUAGCGGGGGAUAACUACGCGAAAGCGUAGCUAAUACCGCAUACGCCCUACGGGGGAAAGCAGGGGAUCGUAAGACCUUGCACUAUUGGAGCGGCCGAUAUCGGAUUAGCUAGUUGGUGAGGUAACGGCUCACCAAGGCGACGAUCCGUAGCUGGUUUGAGAGGACGACCAGCCACACUGGGACUGAGACACGGCCCAGACUCCUACGGGAGGCAGCAGUGGGGAAUUUUGGACAAUGGGGGCAACCCUGAUCCAGCCAUCCCGCGUGUGCGAUGAAGGCCUUCGGGUUGUAAAGCACUUUUGGCAGGAAAGAAACGUCGCGGGCUAAUACCCAGUGGAACUGACGGUACCUGCAGAAUAAGCACCGGCUAACUACGUG